RNAcentral lists this ribosomal RNA (505 nucleotides) under uncultured bacterium. Its description in RNAcentral is "partial 16S ribosomal RNA". It matches the Rfam family "Bacterial small subunit ribosomal RNA", at positions 28 to 507 of the family's 1533-position model. The record is from RNAcentral.
GACGAACGCUGGGGGCGUGCCUAAUACAUGCAAGUAGAACGCACAGUUUAUACCGUAGCUUGCUACACCAUAGACUGUGAGUUGCGAACGGGUGAGUAACGCGUAGGUAACCUGCCUGGUAGCGGGGGAUAACUAUUGGAAACGAUAGCUAAUACCGCAUAAUAUUGAUUAUUGCAUGAUAAUUGAUUGAAAGAUGCUAUUGCAUCACUACCAGAUGGACCUGCGUUGUAUUAGCUAGUAGGUGAGGUAACGGCUCACCUAGGCGACGAUACAUAGCCGACCUGAGAGGGUGAUCGGCCACACUGGGACUGAGACACGGCCCAGACUCCUACGGGAGGCAGCAGUAGGGAAUCUUCGGCAAUGGACGAAAGUCUGACCGAGCAACGCCGCGUGAGUGAAGAAGGUUUUCGGAUCGUAAAGCUCUGUUGUAAGAGAAGAACGGGUGUGAGAGUGGAAAGUUCACACUGUGACGGUAUCUUACCAGAAAGGGACGGCUAACUACGUG